RNAcentral lists this ribosomal RNA (400 nucleotides) under uncultured bacterium. Its description in RNAcentral is "bacterial SSU rRNA". It matches the Rfam family "Bacterial small subunit ribosomal RNA", at positions 355 to 746 of the family's 1533-position model. The record is from RNAcentral.
UGAGGAAUAUUGCGCAAUGGGGGAAACCCUGACGCAGCGAUGCCGCGUGGGUGAAGAAGGCCUUCGGGUCGUAAAGCCCUGUCAAGCGGGAAGAAUAGCGGCGGGACGAAUAAGCCCGUCGUGUGACGGUACCGCUGAAGGAAGCACCGGCUAACUCCGUGCCAGCAGCCGCGGUAAGACGGAGGGUGCGAGCGUUAUUCGGAAUUAUUGGGCGUAAAGAGCGUGUAGGCGGUCGGUCAAGUCAGAUGUGAAAGCCCGGGGCUCAACCUCGGAAGUGCAUUUGAAACUGGUCGACUUGAGUUCGGGAGAGGGAAGUGGAAUUCCGGGUGUAGAGGUGAAAUUCGUAGAUAUCCGGAGGAACACCGGUGGCGAAGGCGACUUCCUGGACCGAAACUGACGC